This 693-nucleotide long non-coding RNA is filed under the name Rattus norvegicus (Norway rat). RNAcentral's name for it is "long non-coding RNA NONRATT031067". The record is from RNAcentral. Lineage: Eukaryota; Metazoa; Chordata; Mammalia; Rodentia; Muridae.
GAUAGCGAACUAAGGUGUAGCAAUUUACUAAGAAAUCUCUCUAUAGAGUUUCUUUUUAUCCUAAGCCUUUUUCUUUUAAACAGCUCUUGAAGAGCCAGAAAAAUUGGGUGAGACUGAAAAGUCCCCAUGCUCACUGCAGCAGCUCCCGCAGCUAGUUUCGCUUCCCCCUACUGUGUGGUCUGCGAGCACAAGCACAGAUAAAACACUAUGCUUCAAAAAAUUGUGUUGGCUAUCAACCAACACACCACCACUAGAGCGGGGUCCACAAAAUUAAGUUUCUUACUCACUAAGCACUAAGGGGACCAAGUAAAACUCUUCAACGAACAAAGCAAACAGUUUCAUGAUUUCAAACACAGUCGUCAAUCCAAGAUUUCAAACACAGUCGUCAGUCCAAAUUCAAAAACGAAACAAAAGCCCAAAAGACACUCGACAAUACCACAGAAAACAAACCAGACAAGCAAGACUACGACAAAGCAUCCAAUAACCAAUUUUCACAGAUGCCUGGUACCUUUAGUACCUUGCCCAGACUGCAGCUUAACCUUAGCUGCUUCUGGGAUGAGACGGAUCAUCUGAUUCUACCUCCCAACAGAAUUCCAAAGUAUCCACUUGCCCUAACAUCGGUCCAAUGGUCCACCAUCAACGACAAAGGGGUUAUCACAGUCUGCCCCAUGGCAAAGAAAAAGAACGCCAAAC